AGGAUGAACGCUGGCGGCGUGCCUAACACAUGCAAGUCGAACGUCCUGUCUCGCAAGAGGCAGGGAGUGGCGGACGGGUGAGUACCACGUGGGUUAUCUACCGUGAGGUGAGGAAUACCGGCGAGAAAUCGCCGACAAGACCGCAUAGCCUCGGUGCAAGCCGAGGAAAGCUUUCUCGAGAGAGGGAGCGCCACACGAGGAGCCUGCGCCCGAUUAGCUAGCUGGUGGAGUAACGGUUCACCAGGGCGACGAUCGGUAGCUGGUCUGAGAGGACGAUCAGCCACACUGGGAUUGAGAACGGCCCAGACUCCUACGGGGGGCAGCAGUGAGGAAUUUUCGUCAAUGGGGGCAACCCUGAACGGGCAACGCCGCGUGCAGGAAGAAGGUUUCGGAUCGUAAACUGCUUUUCUUCGGGGAGAGAACGGACGGUACCCGAGGAAUCAGCCCCGGCUAACUACGCGCCAGCAGCCGC
This 472-nucleotide ribosomal RNA is filed under the name uncultured bacterium. RNAcentral's name for it is "SSU rRNA". It matches the Rfam family "Bacterial small subunit ribosomal RNA", at positions 26 to 518 of the family's 1533-position model. The record is from RNAcentral.